RNAcentral lists this ribosomal RNA (301 nucleotides) under uncultured bacterium. RNAcentral's name for it is "partial 16S ribosomal RNA". It matches the Rfam family "Bacterial small subunit ribosomal RNA", at positions 509 to 807 of the family's 1533-position model. The record is from RNAcentral.
CAGUAGCCACGGUAAUACGAAGGGGGCUAGCGUUGUUCGGAUUAACUGGGCGUAAAGGGCGCGUAGGCGGGUUUUUAAGUCAGAGGUGAAAUCCCAAGGCUCAACCUUGGAACUGCCUUUGAUACUGGAAGUCUUGAGUCCGGGAGAGGUGAGUGGAACUGCGAGUGUAGAGGUGAAAUUCGUAGAUAUUCGCAAGAACACCAGUGGCGAAGGCGGCUCACUGGCCCGGUACUGACGCUGAGGCGCGAAAGCGUGGGGAGCAAACAGGAUUAGAUACCCCCGUAGUCCCUGUCUCUUAUAC